Long non-coding RNA from Monodelphis domestica (gray short-tailed opossum), 3183 nucleotides. RefSeq lists it as uncharacterized. Lineage: Eukaryota; Metazoa; Chordata; Mammalia; Didelphimorphia; Didelphidae. The record is from RefSeq and is a predicted model, not a curated record.
AUCCGAGCAACCAAAUGUAAAGUCUAUACAAAAUGACACAAGAUAAUUUCAAGGGAAUAGUUCUGAUCCAUGAUGGCAUCAGGUCAAUAGCUCUUGGAAAGAUGGCACCUGAGUUGGGUUGUAAGGAAUUGGUGAUCAUGCAAAAGAAAGGCUGGAUUUCCUCCAAGGGUUUGAAGUUAUAAGAGUAAGCCUGAGGGGUCUACAUUUCAAGUUAUAUACAGAUUUCGCAGUGUGAAAAGACUUAGAGAACAAGCUUUUCACUAAGAAGGUGGCUUGCCAUCCCAACUUUUGAAAGCAUAUGAUAUAGAGUGCUCAACUUGAAAGUCAAGAAGGAAGAACUGAAUUAAAAUCUUGCCUCUAAUGUUUACUAGCUGAGAAACCAUAGGAAUUUUCUACCAGAUUCCCAACUUCCUGGUGCCCACAGAUGUUUGAGCAAAGGGAACUGAUGCCCAGACCAACAACUAAUUCUGCAAAACUCCCAGGAUUGAAGAGGGAAAAAAAUCUUACAGAUGAACACUGACUGCCAAGUUCUGGGAAAGAGAAAUUGGGAAGCAUGCAAAAGGCAGAAGCAAUGGCUGAGUGGUGACCUGUCAGUCAAACUAGAGGUUCUGAUUUGGAAUGUUACCAGGAAAACAGUUGAAGGCAAAGCCAAUGGCUAGCUGAACUAUGGGUAUUUUCCUGUUACCUUGUAUCAGGAAAGGAGGAAGACAGAAAGAAGUAGUGGUCCCUGGUGUCUUUGAAGGCAGAAGAAAAAAGGACAAUAGUCCAGGUGCUGAUACAAUGAGAAGACAUCAUCAGGUACCUAGAGGAUGGUGGAUAGUAUUUAAUAGGAUAGUAUUUAAUAUUAUAUAAAUACCUGCAAGAAUGGAGAGUUGAAUUGAGUUUUAGACAUACACAGCCUCUCUCCUUAGUGGGCUGUAUGAAAAGUGGUGAAAAUAAUUGCAAUAAACACUGAUGGGACAAAAGUUCUAAGUUAUUCUGAAUCCUUUAGGGGAACCACAGUUAUAUUAAGGGGAAGCUAGGUGGCACAAUGGAUAAAGUGCCAGUUCUAGAGGCAAGAAGACUUCAGAUUAUUGAAUUCAAAUCUGGUUUCAGACACUUAUUAGCUAUGUGUCCCUGGCCAAGUCACUUAACUCUGUUGGUUUCAGCUUCCUCAUUUGUAAAAUGAUCAGGAGAAGGAAAUAACAAACCACACCAAUAUCUUUGCCAAGAAAGCCCCAAAUGGGGUCAUGAAGAGUCAGACAUGACUGAAAAAAAUACAACUGAACAACAAUUAUAGUAAAAGGGCAUAAGAGAGUAUUGAUUCACAGCAAUUAGUAGAGUAUUAUGCUCACAAGUAUAGGUCAUUAAAAGAUGCCAUUUAGUGAUGGAGUGAUUUGGCUGUCCCCUUUAACUACUUCCUUUACACUACAUGCUUCUCCAAGUAUAUAAUCUCCUCUCACCAUGAAGUGGUUGCAAUGAAGCCCUUCCUUCUGGCCUCUAUGUACCAUGGAAACCCAACUGUGUGGAUGCUGGGUAAUCUCUUUUUCCUAUAAUUAGGCAUAAAGAGAAAGGUGGUGAUAAAGUAUAAGUUUUCUCCCCAUUUGCUGAAAGUACCCAGUGUGAGAAAAUUCAACAUCAACUCUGAACUCUUUUUGUCUUAUAUGUCAUUCUUUGAGUUCUGUGUGAAAUGAUCUGAGAGUCUUCUCUAUUUGAAUGACUUUGAAAUUUCUAACCCUAACUUGUAUAUCUCUCCUAUAACCCAGCCCCACAUUCCUGAUUAUCUACUGAAUAUCUUUGCUUAGAUAGUCUGUUGUGACUGAAAAUAUAUGUACAAAUCCAAAAUAUUCCUUUUCCCUAAUGGUCACAUUUUGGUCAGUAUUAAAACCAUUUUCCUAGUUUCCUUGGUAUUAAUUUUGCAUUUUCUUUGUAUUUCAUUCUCACUACAAAAAUUUUGAAGUCAGACAAUGUAGGUUGAAAUCCCUUCUCUCUAUGACUGAUAAGUAAUGCAACUUUCCUCUGUUUUGCUUUCUUUGUCUUGGAAAAUGAAGGAGAUUAAACUAUAUUCCUUCUGAGGUUCCAUUUGUCUCUUGAUUCAUGAUCAUGUUAUUUUUUUUUAAUUCUAAAAUGUCUUUUGCACUCACAUUCCCCUUUCUAUUGUUUCCUGAACAUUUGGUCUAGCCUUACUCACCUUUACCCAGAUUAUUGCUUCAGUCUCCUCAAUGGUCUUUCAGACCUUCUCCUUUUGAAUCCACAGUGUAUUGCACAUUCAGAAAAAUCUUAUUAAAACAUAUUUUUAUCCUGAUCUCUAUGACCUAUGACAUCAAAGCAUACACAUAAUAGAAUUUAUUUAGAGCAAGAAAAUACAUUAGAGAUAGUCUUCCAUUCCCUACAUAUAUUUCUAUAUAAAUGAGAAAUCUGAACCUUGGAUCCAGUGACCUCUGAUCUUAGAAUCCUGGAUGCAGUGUUACCUCACACUCCUUCCUCCCCAUCCAGAAUGUUCCAUCUACUAUCUUCUAACCAUCUGUUUCCCAUCCAUUUACUCCUUCAUUCAUUCAUGCAUACACACAUGGUUUAAACCUUACUAUACUUUCCAGUCUAGAACACUCUCUUCUAAUCGUAAUUCUACUCAUCCUUCAAGGACCAGCUCUUGUCCCAUUUCCCCUGCAAAAAAGCCCUGAAUAUCUCUACUCACACUGAUCAUCCUUAUUCCUCUUAACUCUGAUAGCUACUAUUAAACCACAUAAUUUAUAACUUGAUUAUAUUCUAUUUCACAUUUUAUUUCCUUAGCUAAAUUCAAGGUCAAGAAUCAUAUCUUACAAUUCCAUACUUCUCCUCCCUCUAAAGAAGUUAGUAUCGUGAUAGGCACAUAAAUACAAUCACAGAAUCAGACAAUGUUCUUAGCAUGGUGCCUAGAACAUUUUAGGUGCCUCAUAAAUGCUUACUGACAGACUAACUGAGCCACCAUCAGAGGGAUCUCAAAGGUCAUUUAAUCCAAAUAAUACAUAUAAAAGAAUCUCCUCUGUGACAUCUCCAACAAGUGUUCAUCUAGUCAUUGUCUGAAGGCAUUCAGUGAAGGGGAACCUAUUAAUUCCCAAGGCCGGCCAUGCUAUUUGGAGAAAGAUCUAAUUGUGAAAAGAUUUAAAAAAAUAAAUGAAUGUUACUUGAUGGAGCAUCCCCAAAUCGUUUUCUAUCACCUCUUCA